This 269-nucleotide ribosomal RNA is filed under the name uncultured Planctomycetales bacterium. Its description in RNAcentral is "partial 16S ribosomal RNA". It matches the Rfam family "Bacterial small subunit ribosomal RNA", at positions 565 to 832 of the family's 1533-position model. The record is from RNAcentral. Lineage: Bacteria; Pseudomonadati; Planctomycetota; Planctomycetia; Planctomycetales.
GAGCACGUAGGUGGGUUUGUAAGUCAGAUGUGAAAGCCUUCUGUUCAACGGAAGAAUUGCAUCUGAAACUGCGAGUCUUGAGUGUAGGAGGGGAGAAUGGAACUUCUGGUGGAGCGGUGAGAUGCGUAGAUAUCAGAAGGAACUCCGGCGGCGAAAGCGAUUCUCCGGCCUAUUACUGACACUCAGUGUGCGAAAGCUAGGGGAGCAAACGGGAUUAGAUACCCCGGUAGUCCUAGCCGUAAACGAUGGGCACUAAGUAGAGGGGUUUU